GCUACGGUGACUUAAAUGGUUAGAGCGUCCGCCUUAGAUGAGGGAGGUAACGGGUUCAAACCACGACCGAAUCA
Potamilus streckersoni is the source of this 74-nucleotide non-coding RNA. NCBI's taxonomy places the organism in Eukaryota, Metazoa, Mollusca, Bivalvia, Unionida, Unionidae. The record is from the annotation of a GenBank genome assembly.